CAGUAGCCGCGGGAAUACGAGGGGGGCAAGCGUUGUUCGGAAUUAUUGGGCGUAAAGGGCGCGUAGGCGGUUUGGCAAGUUUGGUGUGAAAUCUUCGGGCUCAACCCGAAGUCUGCACCGAAAACUGCCGGGCUUGAGUAUGGGAGAGGUGAGUGGAAUUUCCGGUGUAGCGGUGAAAUGCGUAGAUAUCGGAAGGAACACCUGUGGCGAAGGCGGCCAUCUGGGACAACACUGACGCUGAGGCACGAAAGCGUGGGGAGCAAACAGGAUUAGAUACCCCUGUAGUCCCUGUCUCUUAUAU
RNAcentral lists this ribosomal RNA (301 nucleotides) under uncultured bacterium. RNAcentral describes it as "partial 16S ribosomal RNA". It matches the Rfam family "Bacterial small subunit ribosomal RNA", at positions 509 to 809 of the family's 1533-position model. The record is from RNAcentral.